UACGGAGGGUGCGAGCGUUGUCCGGAAUCAUUGGGCGUAAAGGGCGCGUAGGUGGCGGGCCAAGCGUGCGGUGAAAGCUCGGGGCUCAACCCCGAGUCGGCCGUGCGAACUGUCUUGCUUGAGCACUGUAGAGGCAGGCGGAAUUCCGGGUGUAGCGGUGGAAUGCGUAGAGAUCCGGAAGAACACCGGUGGCGAAGGCGGCCUGCUGGGCAGUUGCUGACACUGAGGCGCGACAGCGUGGGGAGCAAACAGG
Molecule: ribosomal RNA, 253 nt
Filed under: uncultured bacterium
Lineage: Bacteria
Description: partial 16S ribosomal RNA
Rfam family: Bacterial small subunit ribosomal RNA
Source: RNAcentral